Molecule: ribozyme, 58 nt
Filed under: unclassified sequences
Description: pistol ribozyme
Rfam family: Pistol ribozyme
Source: RNAcentral
AGUCGACCUAGCGACUAUAAAUAGGCUUUAGGCUAGGAGCGUGACCACUUCGGUGGUC